AGAGGUGUAGCUCAGGGUUAGAGCAUCUGCUUUGCAUGAAGAAGGCUCCAGGUUUUGUCCCUGGCGUCUGCA
Non-coding RNA from Podarcis lilfordi (Lilford's wall lizard), 72 nucleotides. NCBI's taxonomy places the organism in Eukaryota, Metazoa, Chordata, Lepidosauria, Squamata, Lacertidae. The record is from the annotation of a GenBank genome assembly.